CCUACGGGAGGCAGCAGUGGGGAAUAUUGGGCAAUGGGCGCAAGCCUGACCCAGCAACGCCGCGUGAAGGAAGAAGGCUUUCGGGUUGUAAACUUCUUUUCUCAGGGACGAAGAAAGUGACGUUACCUGAGGAAUAAGCCACGGCUAACUACGUGCCAGCAGCCGCGGUACUACGUAGGUGGCAAGCGUUAUCCGGAUUUAUUGGGUGUAAAGGGCGUGUAGGCGGGAGGGCAAGUCAGAUGUGAAAACCUAGGGCUCAACCCUGGGCCUGCAUUUGAAACUGGGGUUCGUGAGUGCGGGAGAGGAAAUUGGAAUUCCGUGUGUAGCGGUGAAAUGCGUAGAUAUACGGAGGAACACCAGUGGCGAAGGCGGAUUGCUGGACAGUAACUGACGCUGAGGCGCGAAAGCGUGGGGAGCAAACAGGAUUAGAUACCCUAGUAGUC
This 443-nucleotide ribosomal RNA is filed under the name uncultured bacterium. RNAcentral describes it as "partial 16S ribosomal RNA". It matches the Rfam family "Bacterial small subunit ribosomal RNA", at positions 338 to 795 of the family's 1533-position model. The record is from RNAcentral.